AUAUUGUUCUAUGGGGGGAACCCUGAACCAGCGACACCGCGUGAGUGAUGAAGGUUUUCGGAUCGUAAAACUCUGUUGUUAGGGCAGAACAAGUACCGUAGUCACUGCCGUUACCUUGACGGUACCUGACGAGAAAGCCACGGCUAACUACGUGCCAGCAGCCGCGGUAAUACGUAGGUGGCAAGCGUUGUCCGGAAUUAUUGGGCGUAAAGCGCGCGCAGGAGGUCCUUUAAGUCUGAUGUGAAAGCCCACGGCUCAACCGUGGAGGGUCAUUGGAAACUGGGGGACUUGAGUGCAGAAGAGGAAAGUGGAAUUCCAAGUGUAGCGGUGAAAUGCGUAGAGAUUUGGAGGAACACCAGUGGCGAAGGCGACUUUCUGGUCUGUAACUGACGCUGAGGCGCGAAAGCGUGGGGAGCAAACA
RNAcentral lists this ribosomal RNA (421 nucleotides) under uncultured bacterium. Its description in RNAcentral is "partial 16S ribosomal RNA". It matches the Rfam family "Bacterial small subunit ribosomal RNA", at positions 361 to 774 of the family's 1533-position model. The record is from RNAcentral.